CAGCCGCCGCGGUAAUACAGAGGGUGCAAGCGUUAAUCGGAAUUACUGGGCGUAAAGCGCGCGUAGGUGGUUCGCCAAGUUGGAUGUGAAAUCCCCGGGCUCAACCUGGGAACUGCAUCCAAAACUGGCGAGCUAGAGUAUGGUAGAGGGUGGUGGAAUUUCCCGUGUAGCGGUGAAAUGCGUAGAUAUAGGAAGGAACAUCAGUGGCGAAGGCGACCACCUGGACUGAUACUGACACUGAGGUGCGAAAGCGUGGGGAGCAAACAGGAUUAGAUACCCGAGUAGUCCCUGUCUCUUAUAC
This 301-nucleotide ribosomal RNA is filed under the name uncultured bacterium. RNAcentral's name for it is "partial 16S ribosomal RNA". It matches the Rfam family "Bacterial small subunit ribosomal RNA", at positions 509 to 807 of the family's 1533-position model. The record is from RNAcentral.